AACUCCCCCAUGAUAGGGUGAAGCCGGUGCAUGAGUCACAAGCGAUUGGAGCCCACCACGGUGGAAGGCCUAUGAAGAGAUGUUCAAAACAUCUCUCGCUUAUCAACUUAAUAUUCGUUUGUCGAGGGAGUAGUUUUGGGCUACAUCAAAAUCAUUUUAAUCAUAUUAAAAGAACUUGGGCCUAUCAUAACCAUUGGUCCAAGUUAAUAUGAAUUAGUAGCAUAUAAUACUCCCACUGUUUCGUUGAAACAAGCGAGACCAUAUGGAACUACUAACGAACACAUUGCAUCCUCAUAUGGACUAUAUGGUCAUAUUAGGUUUUAGGAUGAUUAUGAACCGUUUAAUUUGAUCCAACACGAGCCUUGUGUUGGACCUUGGGUUUAAGGUAGAUAGUUGUUGAUUUUAGUUACGCGUUUAAUCCAAUUAAACCGUUAUUUCCUAUUGGGCGUUGGACCCAACUAUUCCAUUUUGCAUACAAUUAAACAAAAGGAAUACAUGAAAUAAUAAGAAGGGCUUAUGCCCUUUUACAACAAAAAUGAUGGACUUAUGUCCAUUUACAACAAAUUGAAUUAAUCAAAUUACAUUCAAAUCUACUCUACCAAACCCAAACAUUCAUAAUGUAAAGCGGCCAAUCACAUAGCUCAAUUAUCGAGGCCUUUGGUUCAUAAUCACCCUUUUCUCAAUUAAUCACAUUAACUAAGAAAGCAACUUAAACAAUUGGUUUUUGGAUCCAUAGAAUUGAUUUAAAUGGAACUAAAUGAAAUGAAAAUUCAAUUCUCAUUAAAGAGACAAAAAAAUUUUGUUCUCAUUUUAUUUGGGCCAAAAGGAAACUAUGACCACAACAAUUGGGCCACAAUGCAAAUACAUAAACUUUUGGGGUCACUUUGUAAAAACACAAUAGUCCACAACUUCAUGUAAAUACAACUAGAUCCCAAAGUUUUAAUAAUGUAAAAACAUCAUUAAAGGAGCAAAACAAUUUGUCCUUUAGAGUUUUUGGGCCUUAACGUAAAAACGUAAACUUUUGGGCCAAAGUGCAAAAACACAAAAGUAUCAAAACUUUAUGUAAUUGCACAAAAGGCCCCAAAAGUACCCCACUUGUUGGGGUGGCCGGCCAAGGAGAGAAGAAAUGAAAAUUUUCUAAAAAGUUUUUGCAAGUUGAUUUUGGUGGGUGAGGUAAAGGUGAUUUGGAUGGUUUGUAAGAAAAAAAAUUAAAGUCUAUGACAAACAUUAAAACCAUUUCAUCACAUCUCACCAAUAACCAUCAACCAUCAAAUAAUAAACCAAAACUUUAUGAAAAACAUAAAACUUUUGAAUCAAAACUUCAAAACUUUAUGUUCUUGGCAAGAACUUCAAGAACAUUGAAGAACACCAUGAAAACUCAUAAUAGCUCCAUGAAUGUUUUCACUCACCAAAACUCAAUUUUUCACCACUCAAAAGAGGGCUAAUAUCCUAGGGUACUUAGGGGUUCCAAAAGUCACCUUAAAACCAUUUUAACAAGACAAACAUGAACCCAAAAAAUCACCCUAAGGAUUUGGCCGAAUUUCCAAAAACACAUGGCACCAAAUUUUAGUUCCAAUAUUCAUGCUUAAAUGAAAUACAUCUACAACAUUUGAGAUGCUAAAUUUUCUAGCAAAAUUUAUAUAUUCAAAAGCAAGAAUAAAGCUUGUAACAUUUACAACAUUUAAAUCACAAAUCAUGAAAAUCACAAAACCCAAAAGGAUUCACCAUAAACUAGGCCUAGGCUCUGAUACCACUUGAAGGAAAAAUUUGUCCUAGCUAAGAACAAGUAUGAACAUUUGAAU
Molecule: long non-coding RNA, 1802 nt
Filed under: Malus domestica (apple)
Lineage: Eukaryota; Viridiplantae; Streptophyta; Magnoliopsida; Rosales; Rosaceae
Description: long non-coding RNA (MDOM_LNC019946)
Source: RNAcentral